RNAcentral lists this ribosomal RNA (253 nucleotides) under uncultured bacterium. Its description in RNAcentral is "partial 16S ribosomal RNA". It matches the Rfam family "Bacterial small subunit ribosomal RNA", at positions 524 to 776 of the family's 1533-position model. The record is from RNAcentral.
GACGAGGGGUCCAAGCGUUGUUCGGAAUCAUUGGGCGUAAAGCGGGUGUAGGCGGCUCUAUAAGUCAGAAGUGAAAGCCCCGAGCUUAACUUGGGAAGUGCUUUUGAUACUGCAGAGCUUGAAUGUGGGAGAGGGUAGUGGAAUUCCAGGUGUAGUGGUGAAAUACGUAGAUAUCUGGAGGAACACCGGUGGCGAAGGCGGCUACCUGGCCCAACAUUGACGCUGAGACCCGAAAGCAUGGGGAUCAAACAGG